CAGGAAUGCACCUAAUGUAAAACUCCCCGGAGUGGACAGGUACAGACAAGGGGCGACAUUAAUGUUUCAUCACUGACAAACGGAGCGGAACUGAGAGUGCUGCUGAUGUGGUUGCAGAGGUGAUGGACCAGUCAAAGCGAGUGUCCCUGUGGACAGUGGAGGACGUGUUGGAGUGGGUGCAGGAUCAGUAUCCAGCCCAGAUGAACAAACUCCACAAAGCCAUCAUUAAACACGCCAUAUCAGGCCGCGCGUUGCUGAGAUUAAAGGAUCAUCACCUGGAGCUUCUCGGGGUGGAAGCUGAGGAGCAGCAGCAGGAAAUGUUGCAGGACCUUCUCCUCCUCAGAGUUCAGGAGGAAAUCAAUGAACUGAGCGACAUCUGCUCGGACUGUUUCUCUCUGUAAUAAAUCUCGAGAAGAAGUGCCGCUGUCCCCCCCUUUUUCUUAAUUUCCCUUCCAUCCAUUCAUCCGUGUGAAGUGAAGAGAGAAAUGUGCGAGUGAAAGAAAACACAGAGAGAAAGAAGAAUCAAUGAGGAAUGAAGAGACAGAAACCUAUUUCCUGGAUGAAAUCCGACCUGGGCAGACGGAUGAGAUUAGUUUUUGUCUUUUGCUCACUGUCCAUUAGUCCCUGUCUUUUUUUCCCUUUUUCUCAAUAAUGGGUUUUUUAUUCCAACAGAGUUUUAUGAUGCACAGAGUAUUGACUUGUUUUUUUUUUACCCAAGUAACAAGACUGACAAACCUCAAUGGACAAUAUUUGUCCAUUAUGUAAUUGGAUGACACGUUGGAGUUAUCAAAUCUAAACCAGACGCUUACAGGAAAUUGUGGACAUGAUAUGUGGCCUGAUAAUAAGAUUAUGUAGAAUAUAAUCUCACAUAUGCAGUUCAUAUAUACACUUCUAUACUGAUUAAAAAUCAGUACACUGCAGUGUAUCUGUUACUGGGCUGCAUUAUGUGAAAGUCAGAGUGAAUAUUCUUUUUGAUUUAAAUAUUAAUAUGUGCUAUAAUUCAUAAUAUAGAUUUUUUUGACUUGUCCUAACACACCGACUACGAUUACAUUGACGACACUGUUGGGUUAUUAACCAAAGUUAGGCAAUAUUUUAAUUAGAAUAACUCUCAAAAGUGCUCAGACCUCCACCAACGCUCAACUGGACCUGCAUCAAAAUUUAAUGAGUUCUUUUUUUGGCCCAUACCCCAUCCCUCGAUUAGAGCCUCUUUCACACUAAAAUAAACUGGAAUAUUCUGGAUUUUUAAAUCAGGGUGAAAAAGGGUGACCACACCUGGUUCACUCCUGUGAUGAAACUGAUCCUUUAGAAUAAUCUGAUUGAUGACAUAAAUAUCAGUUUAAUAGUAAGGUUUGCCAUAAAAACAUUUCCGCUAAAGUCUAUGCUAACAGCCACCAUUUCCUGACCCAGUCUCUAGAACUAGCAAAAAUGAAACAGAAGAAGACGAAAUAAGCAUAAACACCAUAGUCUUGCGUUCUCACUGAUGUACAAUCGUUUAACCCGCGAGUGAAUGUCAAUUAAAUACAUUUCCACCGAUGAAAAACCAGUUAAAACCUGGGACUUACCUGCUCGUUUGGCUAGUUUUGAGUGUGGUGUAGGUUGGUGUGUGUGUGUAAACAGUACAGGUUGACCUGGUGAAAAGAACAGGGACAGGAGGGGGGUGUGGUCAGGUAAAUGGCGGGAAAGAAAACUAAGACCAGGAUAAGGAGCGUGGAGAGGAAUUGAGUAACCAAAACAAAGCAGGACAUUUUUACUGCUAAAUCUGUAACACAUACAAUUACUUAUUUUUAACAGACACCUUCUAUCAGUAAAUUUGAUAAAUUAAUCACAACUUUAUUUUAUGCAGGUUAUGUUAAACAUAACUUAAGUUAAAUUAAUUAUUUGGUGACUCUCCCUCAAACUAAAUAGGGUCAUACUCAGAAGACAGUAUUCAGAUUUUAGUCCCAUUAUGUAACUGGAAAGUUCUUGGAGAGCUCAAAACCAUGUAAGAUAAACAAUUUCCUAACUGUUAAAGAAUCAAGAAUCGAAUACACCCAUGUAAUCAGAUCCACUCCAUAAUUUAAUGUGUUAAUCCCUCACAUUUGGUGUCCCAACGCUCCAAAGAAAUAGCUUUGUAUAUGUUAAAAUUGCAGUAUAUUGCAUGUAUGACUCAUGUCAAACAUGUAAACAGGAAGGUUGGUGGAAUAUUCUAGUUGUAACUUAUUCAAAACAUCAUAAACUGAAUAAUAUCUUAUUCAAAAUCAGAACAUUGUCGUCCAUGUAAACAAAGUCAGGGAUAACAGUGAUUGUGGUGAAUCCUGUUUCAACUUUUCCGCAGCUAAUACUUGCAAAAGCCACUUCUUUAUGAAUGGCCAUAAUAACCGGUCCUAAAACUUUCAUACAGCUUAAUUUCCUGCUUCCUUUAUUUAUGAUGUUGUCCACUUUUUAGUGUGUAUUAUGGCAUCAGUGAUGCUGCAUUUGUGUUCCAUAAAAAAAAGUGACUUUUGUCAUGGCACUGUUACCGUAUGGUCAGCUGAAUUAAAAGUGCUGCUUUGGCAACACCG
Long non-coding RNA from Solea solea (common sole), 2540 nucleotides. RefSeq lists it as uncharacterized. The record is from RefSeq and is a predicted model, not a curated record. The transcript is spliced from 4 exons. Lineage: Eukaryota; Metazoa; Chordata; Actinopteri; Pleuronectiformes; Soleidae.